Molecule: ribosomal RNA, 222 nt
Filed under: uncultured bacterium
Lineage: Bacteria
Description: partial 16S ribosomal RNA
Rfam family: Bacterial small subunit ribosomal RNA
Source: RNAcentral
AGUAAUGUAUGGGGAUCUGCCUGAUGGCGGGGGAUAACUACUGGAAACGGUAGCUAAUACCGCAUAAUGUCUGCGGACCAAAGCGGGGGACCUCCGGGCCUCUUGCCAUCGGAUGUGCCCAGAUGGGAUUAGCUAGUAGGUGGGGUAACGGCUCACCUAGGCGACGAUCCCUAGCUGGUCUGAGAGGAUGAUCAGCCACACUGGGACUGAGACACGGCCCAG